This 72-nucleotide transfer RNA is filed under the name Bos taurus (domestic cattle). It matches the Rfam family "tRNA". From Rfam's summary of the family: Transfer RNA (tRNA) molecules are approximately 80 nucleotides in length. Their secondary structure includes four short double-helical elements and three loops (D, anti-codon, and T loops). RNAcentral also lists the same sequence under 1 other name. Lineage: Eukaryota; Metazoa; Chordata; Mammalia; Artiodactyla; Bovidae. The record is from Rfam by way of RNAcentral.
UCCCUGGUGGCUCAGAGGUUAAAUUGUCUGCCUGCAAUGCAGGAGACCCAGGUUCAAUCCCUGGGUCGGGAA